UUUUUUUUUAUGUAAUAUUAUUUGAGGGGUACAGCCAAAAUUACUUGUCAUGGUGCCACUCGAGAAGAAUCGCACAAAGAGUCUGUACCCUAACACAAACAUGCUGUGUUCACCAGUGAAGUGCUGUGAUGUGAAAGAGGUUAUGGUCCAGGGUCAGAGAGAUCCUCCUUUCACAGGCUCUUGGCCCUUCACUACUCAGCCUUCUCCAAGCAGGAGUAGAGGCUAUAUUUGAACAUCUCAACAAGGAUGCAUCCCUACUGAGUUUUCUGGAAUUGGCCUUUAAGAAAAGCCUGGACCAGGGCUGGAAACUGGACUGCAGAUGGUCCUCCACAUUUCCAGAAUGUGGGCUUAGGCAACAUGUUACAGGGACUAUAAGCAUGCAAGCACACAACAUGGUUGUUUACCAUGCAAAGGCAGAGCAAGGAAUGUAGACAUGCAGAGACUUGAUUUCCAGACCAUGGGUUCCUGAGUGACAUGCACACUGUCCAUUUUAAUCCCUCUAAGCUGGUCUCCCCUGUAUUUUAAUCAGUUCACUCAGAGGCUAAGCAGGUAGAAGGAAGUAAUCUCUAAAAGCAUGAGUGAAACCUCCCAUUGGGGGUGUGUACACGUGAGCUGGAUGGGGAGGAAGAAAUAGUUGCAUUUACCUCAUCAAAAAAGGAGUAUAAAUAGUCUGGGAAGCGUUAGGCUUUCUCAGUUCCCAGGUGCCAGUGCAUGAAGCAGUGACAUCAAAGUGGACCAUGGCAACUUUCCUCUUCUUGGUGCAACUCCUCUUCAUUGGGACACUAAUCAUCCCAGCAUACACAGAGACAGAUAAAUGUAAUUUGCUCAUGAAUGCAUCUGCAAGCAAUUUCAUUGUAUCUGUGACUCCUGAGGCAUACAAGGCAAACACAACCUACCAAGUUACAAUAAGUAAUGACAGAAACCGCACUGAUAGCACGAAUGUGACUGAAUACUUACUGCAAGCCUUAUCCCCGCAAAAUGACUCCAUUGGAGAAUGGAAGGUGGACAACAAGAAAAAUUGCAGUUCUAUUGACACAGCAGUAUUAAAUGCCACUCAGAAUGCAAUAAACUGGACAUCUCCAACCAGUAACAUAACUUCUGCAGAAAUAAGGUAAGACUAUACUCCACCUUUAAGUAUUCAGCUGGGACUGUAUUUGUCUGUGUAAGCUUUUGGCGAUGCCCAGAAUCAAGAGCCCACCUCUAGAGCUGGUGUUGAAAUAGACCUCUUGAGCCUUCUCCAGAUAUUCUCUUGAAAAUACCAAGGAAAAAUUUUCUGCAAAGCCAUAUCUAGAGGUCACCCCAUGGAUGGUCUUGUAGUUUAAAGACUUGCUCACAUUAGCAGGGACGUAAAUUAGUUCUAUGGAAAUGAAUGGAUUGAUCACCCUUAUUGUUUCCAUUAACACUAAUGCAGUUCUAUCAGUGGGAAAUAUUUGUCAAAGGAAACCGUAGCCAUUAGCCUAAUUUGCCUUAUCUGUGGAAAGGAAGAAUGCAAUAGUUUAUGACAAUUGUGAUUCUAAUUACAAGGAGCAGGUGGUCACAAUAUAUGGCCACCCAGUUACAAGGCAUUUCUAUCCCAUGCAGAGAAGGGCAGUAAAGCAGCCAAAGCGUAAUGAAGAAAGAGUAUUUCAGAUCUUAAAAAAAAUAAAUAAUAAAGUGAAAUAUGGCUGGAGGGCA
This 1674-nucleotide long non-coding RNA is filed under the name Calidris pygmaea (Spoon-billed sandpiper). RNAcentral's name for it is "lncRNA (ENSCPGG00000019436.1)". Lineage: Eukaryota; Metazoa; Chordata; Aves; Charadriiformes; Scolopacidae. The record is from RNAcentral.